RNAcentral lists this non-coding RNA (21 nucleotides) under Caenorhabditis elegans. The record is from RNAcentral. Lineage: Eukaryota; Metazoa; Nematoda; Chromadorea; Rhabditida; Rhabditidae.
UAAAUAACAGUUUAGAAUUUU